UAGGGAAUAUUGGACAAUGGGGGCAACCCUGAUCCAGCCAUGCCGCGUGAGUGAUGAAGGCCCUAGGGUUGUAAAGCUCUUUCGGCGGGGACGAUAAUGACGGUACCCGCAGAAGAAGCCCCGGCUAACUUCGUGCCAGCAGCCGCGGUAAUACGAAGGGGGCUAGCGUUGCUCGGAAUCACUGGGCGUAAAGCGCACGUAGGCGGAUCUUUAAGUCAGGGGUGAAAUCCCGAGGCUCAACCUCGGAACUGCCUUUGAUACUGGUGAUCUCGAGUCCGGAAGAGGUGGGUGGAAUUCCUAGUGUAGAGGUGAAAUUCGUAGAUAUUAGGAAGAACACCGGUGGCGAAGGCGGCCCACUGGUCCGGUACUGACUCUGAGGUGCGAAAGCGUGGGGAGCAAACA
This 402-nucleotide ribosomal RNA is filed under the name uncultured prokaryote. Its description in RNAcentral is "bacterial SSU rRNA". It matches the Rfam family "Bacterial small subunit ribosomal RNA", at positions 355 to 774 of the family's 1533-position model. The record is from RNAcentral.